This is a non-coding RNA of Acanthosepion pharaonis, 112 nucleotides long. The record is from the annotation of a GenBank genome assembly. NCBI's taxonomy places the organism in Eukaryota, Metazoa, Mollusca, Cephalopoda, Sepiida, Sepiidae.
ACAGCAAUAUCACGUUGAAACGCCAGUUCUUGUCCAUUCACUGAAGUUAAGCAAUGUCGAGUUUGGUCAGUACUUAGACGAGUGACAGCUUGGGAAUACCAGGUGCUGUAAG